GUGGGGAAUAUUGGACAAUGGGCGAAAGCCUGACGCAGCCAUGCCGCGUGAAUGAUGAAGGUCUUAGGAUUGUAAAGCUCUUUCAGUGGGGACGAUAAUGACGGUACCCACAGAAGAAGCCCCGGCUAACUUCGUGCCAGCAGCCGCGGUAAUACGAAGGGGGCUAGCGUUGUUCGGAUUUACUGGGCGUAAAGCGCACGUAGGCGGAUCGUUAAGUCGGGGGUGAAAUCCUGGAGCUCAACUCCAGAACUGCCUUCGAUACUGGCGAUCUUGAGUCCGGAAGAGGUGAGUGGAACUCCUAGUGUAGAGGUGGAAUUCGUAGAUAUUAGGAAGAACACCAGUGGCGAAGGCGGCUCACUGGUCCGGUACUGACGCUGAGGUGCGAAAGCGUGGGGAGCAAACAGGAUUAGAAACCCGGGUAGUCC
Molecule: ribosomal RNA, 425 nt
Filed under: uncultured bacterium
Lineage: Bacteria
Description: partial 16S ribosomal RNA
Rfam family: Bacterial small subunit ribosomal RNA
Source: RNAcentral